UUUUCUCAUGAUAUGGAUUUAUUUUUCGACUAAAAAUAUAAUUAUUUAUUUGUCAUGAUAUAAAUUUAGACUAAAAUUAAAUAAUAUUAAUAUGAAAAUUUCUAAACUAUAAGAGCUAAUGUGAAUGCUCCUUUUUUAUUACUUUAAAAAGUUAAUAACAUUAAUUUUUUCCGUUGCAACACACUAUUAAGCUACUAUAUUUCUCUCUAUUAUUUGAGACUUUUUCUAACGAGCAAAAAUACCAAAGCAGUGUGAAAAUAACUUCACUUAAAAACAAAUAUUUUUAGUUCAAUACACCGUGGCGAAGCGGGCAUUUUGGUAGUCUUCAAAAAUACCCAAAUCAAUCAAUCGACACAACAAAAAACAGCACGAAAAUACCAAAUUUAAUCUAGAGCUCAUGAAUUUGGUCCUCCCCGCCGCCCGACGACCCUAGGGACCUCCCUCGCCUGCCACCGCGUCACCGUCCUCGCCCCUCCGCCACGCCCCUCCACCACGGCGCGCCGCCAGCCUGGCCGACAGGGCCCCACCUCCUGCCAUUCGCCCCGGGCACUGGCCUCGGCGCCCUCCACCGGCCGGUCACGGCCGCCGCCGCUGCUCCUCCUCGCUUAGCCGCCGCCGCUCCUCCUCCUCCUCCUCGCCGGCCACCGCGUCGCCGUCCUCGCCCUCCGCCACGGCGUCCUUCAAAAAUAAAAAUCCCCCAGCUUGAUCCCCAAAUAAAUCGAACAAUGAGACAACCAAAAACAGCACAAAAAAGCCAAUUUUAAUCUAAGAGCUCAUGAAUCCCAAUGUCCGAUUCCAAAAAAAUAAAAAAUAAACUCGAGCAAAAAAAAAAAGAAAAAAAAAGGCGACCGGAUCCGCCCUCGGCUGCCGCCACCGCCGCGGGAUCCACCCGCGGACGUCGCCGAUGCCACCACCGCCGGAUCCGCCCUCGGCGCCACUGCUCAUUAGAGGCUGAGGACGCCGCUGCCCGAGGCCUUGGUGGCUUGGCGGGGGCACCGCCGUGCGCCGCGAGGGUACUGUCGCCGAGGAGAGGGCGCUGCCAGCCAGGGGGAGGGCGUCGCGGCUGAGGCGCUGACCGCCAAGGGUAGGGCACCACCCGCCGGGGGAAGAGCGCCGUCGACCGGGGGGGGGGGGGGCUGAGCAGCCGCCCACCGGGUGAAGGACGUCGCCGGCCAGGGGGAGGGCGCCGCGGCUGGGGCACCAACCGCCAAGGGUAGGGCGUCGUCGCCGGAGGAAGGGCGCCGCCGGCUGGAGGGAGGGUGCCGUGGCUGAGGGGUACGGGGAGUAACGCUGCAGUGGGGCAGAGGGGGAAGGGCGGAGAUGGAGGGCGUCGCUAGCUGUGAGUAGAGAAGGAGAAAAGGAGUGAAAGGAAAGAGAGCGCAACGGAGGAGAGGAGAUAAGGGCGAGCGGCAGAGGAGAGAAACACCGAGAGGAAUGAGCUCGGCGAGAACGAGGAGAUAAUGACGGGCGGAAUUAUCGAGGCGCAGGG
This 1489-nucleotide long non-coding RNA is filed under the name Oryza sativa (Asian cultivated rice). RNAcentral's name for it is "long non-coding RNA (OSAT_LNC000199)". Lineage: Eukaryota; Viridiplantae; Streptophyta; Magnoliopsida; Poales; Poaceae. The record is from RNAcentral.